RNAcentral lists this small nuclear RNA (23 nucleotides) under Arabidopsis thaliana (thale cress). RNAcentral's name for it is "snRNA_17828". The record is from RNAcentral. Lineage: Eukaryota; Viridiplantae; Streptophyta; Magnoliopsida; Brassicales; Brassicaceae.
UUGAAUUUGUAGCAGUUAGAUCA